AGAGAAAAACCAUAGAAAACUUCUUGAGAGCAAAUUUGGAAGAUAUAGAAGAACACAAAAGGAAAAGAAAAGCUCUCUGUCGUCACACCACCUGGAGGUGUCUGCCUUAUCUUUAUUGAUCCCUCCCUCCUGCUUUCCUCGGGCUUGUCCUGUCGCUCUUUGGCUGACAUCUUGACCAGAAGGCCUAGUGGCCCCGGGACCUCGAGGCUCCUUCGGUGAGGCGACAGCCUGGAAGAAGACCGUGGAAAUACCUGAGGCAGAAUCGUUCCUGGAAGAGUUUCAGGGUGUCCUGCAAGACAUGGAGGAAAGGAGACGGAGAUCCCAGUGCUGCAGUGUCACGGUGAAGGCUAAGGGGGCCUCUCCGGAUUUUGGAGGCAACAGGUUCCUCCGGCCCAUUUACCAAGUGCCCCCCAAAGCUGUUAGUUUUGAGUGAUGCCCAGAAAAAAGAAGGCUCUGAAAUACCGUAUUUUGCUGUGUAUGAUGUGCACCCACAUCUCCGUGUGCAUUAUACUUGGGAUUAUUAUACCCAUGGUACGCAAUCAUUAUACCCAUGGAGGAUGCGCAUCCUUACUUUUCCAUAAAAAAUUUGGACAUAAAAGCGGGCAUUAUACAUGGCAAAAUAUGGGUUGGUCCAGAGUGCUGUGAGAACUGCUCCGCCCCUGGGCCGUCCGGGCCAGCAGACAGACGGUGCUGGAUGUGUCCCUGGCUGACGGGGUGCUGCUGGGAGCCAUAGGCAGCCCCCUGCAGGUGAAUGGCAGCUCAGAGCCUCAGGAUGUGAGAGCAAAGGCCUGUGUCCUCUGAGAAUAACUGCUCUUCUUCUGAGAAAUAGCUCCUGGCCCGCUACCGGACCUUAGCAGAGACCAGAUACUCAACCACGGGCCACCACGUUGCCGUGGGACCGGGGCUUCCCCGCGUGAGCUGGGUGUCCACGGUCUUGUGAGGAGGUACGCUCCACUCCGUGAGAACUGCUUGAGCUUCCUAACUCCUGCAGACCGGAAUGUGUGUGUGGGACAAGGGUGGCAGGGACACAACGUUGGGUCCGGCUUUUGGGCUCAGCCUGGCACGCACACCCCCGUCUCUCCUGCGUAUCAGGCCUUCCGACUGCAGAUCACGGGACUUCCCAGCCUCCAUAAUUGUGCGAGCGCAGUCCUUAUAACAAGUCAUACGUGU
Long non-coding RNA from Phyllostomus hastatus (greater spear-nosed bat), 1170 nucleotides. RefSeq lists it as uncharacterized. NCBI's taxonomy places the organism in Eukaryota, Metazoa, Chordata, Mammalia, Chiroptera, Phyllostomidae. The record is from RefSeq and is a predicted model, not a curated record. The transcript has 3 exons.